Molecule: long non-coding RNA, 3632 nt
Filed under: Sus scrofa (pig)
Lineage: Eukaryota; Metazoa; Chordata; Mammalia; Artiodactyla; Suidae
Description: lncRNA (ENSSSCG00025059868.1)
Source: RNAcentral
GUCUCUCUGUGCUGCACACGGAGCUGGGGCUCGGAAAUGGGAACGGCGAUUUAUAAGCUCUCGGGCAAAGUCAACUUUCAGGUGAAGAAAACCCGCAUCCCCGAGGGUAAAUACAUUUGUCACUCUUACUGCCGGGACCUGGUGCAUCUGGAUUAUCCACCAAAUGGGAAAUUACCAAACUGCAUGCCCCCCUGUGAAGCAAGACAGUCAAGCCAAAAGCACCCUCAGGUAGGUGCCAUGCGGUGCUCACUGUGGUCUGGGUUUGGGGCAGUGCCAUGGCUCGUGUGCCAGUAGAAUGGUCUCCUUACCCCCAGGGCUCACGUGUGUAUCCUCUUCACAAGCUCUCGUUCAUGCGCAUUCUUUGCCAUCAUUCCUUUCCCCAGCACCUGUUGCAUCCAAAGCUGAACCAUGGGUUGUGAUUUUAGAAAUAACAGGAUAGGAGUUCUCGUCAUGGCGCAGUGGUUAAUGAAUCCGACUAGAAACCAUGAGGUUGCGGGUUUCAUCCUUGCUCAGUGGGUUAAGGAUCUGGCAUUGCCGUGAGCUGUGGUGUAGGUUGCAGACGCAGCUUGGACCCUCGUUGCUGUGGCUGUGGUGUAGGCUGGUGGCUGCAGCUCCGAUUCGACCCCUAGCCUGGGAACCUCCAUAUGCCACUGGAGCAGCCUAAGAAAUGGCAAAAAGACAAAAAAAAAAAGAAAAAGAAAAAAGAAAGAAAGAACAGGAUAGAAUGUGCCGAUAGGUUACCCAACAGCCUUGGGAUAAGAUACAAGGAGUUGCGCUGUAUGGUUAUUGGUCCACGUGCCGGAUGAGGUCUGGUUGGCAGGUGUACUCACUGCCGAUAAAAUAGGACUUGAACUUUGAAUGUGUGUGUUGGUGGUUUCCUCAGCUGGUAAAGCACCUCAGGGCGAACACUGUGUUCAGGAAUCCACCCUUUUUCACGGAUUCCCUUAAAGCAAGGUUCUCCAAUUCAUCUGUCAUGAUCUGUUUCUAAUUGGUCUUCAGCCUGGUUUCUGCCAAACCUCCUUUCUCGCUGUUCUUCCUGGUUUGCUGAAAUGCCUGAAGAAAGGGGUUACCGCUGGCAGUGAAGCCCACUCCUCUGCAAACUUGACUGUUGCUAGCAUCUUCUCCCCUGACAUGUCAAGAUUUUUCUCAAAAAGUCAGCUUUUGAAGUUCCCUUUGUGGCGCAGUGGAAACGAAUUCGACUAGUAUCCUUGAGGAGGCAGGUAUGAUCCCUGGCCUCACUCAGUGGGUCAGGGUUCCGGUGUUGCUGUGAGCUGUGGUGUGGGUCCCAGAUGUGGCCUGGAUCCUUCGUGGCUGUGACUGUGGUGUAGGCCAGCAGCUGUAGCUCGGAUUCGACCCCUAGUCUGGGAACGUCCAUAUGCUGCAAGUGUGGCCCUAAAAAGCAAAAAGCAAAAAAAGUCAGCUUUUAUUCCCCUAGAAAGUGUGGGGGGGGGAGCUGUGGCAUUAAAUGAUCUUUGAGUGUCUAGUCAAUUUCUGGAAGCUCAUUUUUGUGUCUGACUACUGACUAGGACGGCCAAAGUCAGGAGGCAAAAUUCAUCUUUCCUUCACAUGUGAAAGAGGCUAUUUUUCAGUUUGGGGCCAAGAGGCUGAUUGGCCACAGCCCUGGACUGACCAAUGCUGAGCAUAAAAGACCAGAUCCCUGGUUUUGCCACUUGUUUUUCCCGUAACAAAGUUAACUCUUGAUUAGAGUGGUAAUAGCCGUUGUGAUGGGUUUGUUCAGCGUGUGUGGCUCACAUCUGCUAAAUUCCCAUUCAACUUAAUUGCCCUUGGCAGGGGCAUAGGCAAUGAAUGUGGAGUUUAUAAAGGGCAGGAAAAACAGCUUUUCUGGCAAACUGAUGGCUUCAUUUUAAUUAGUGACUGAUGUGACUUUUACCACUGGAGCCUCUUGGAGGUCCUGCAAAGCUGUAACAGCUUUAAAACUCACUCCAGAAAAUGCCUUCAUCUCCAAAAGAAAAGCUUGGAUGAGGGAUGCAGUUUGUCAUUUAAUACGAUGACUUUGGAGUGAGCGAAGAGAAUAAUAGAGGUAUUGUGAGACACUCUAGGCAGAACAAAUAAAUGCUUGUUCCACUUGGGGAAAAAAGAUGUAGAGUUCAAGUGUAAGCUUUAAACAGAUUCUUUAGGAAGUUUCUCAAAAGGGACCUGAAUCACCAAGGCUUGGCUAAUUUAUAUGUGUUUCUUACAUAGAAUUUUAAACAGUAACCCUGAGCUCUCCUAUGUGGCUCUAAAUUUUUAGAAAAUGAUAAAGUAAUUUGAUAUUUAACUGAGUUCAAUGUUUUUAAAAUACGUGCUUAUAGAGUAAUAGUUAUUUUUUUUUCUGCUGUGCCCGUGGCAUGUGGAAGUUCCCAGGCCAGGGAUCAACCCUGUGUUGCAGCAGUGACCUGGGCCACUGCAAUAACAAUGCAGAAUCUGUAAUUUGCUGAGUCCCAAGAGAACGCCUCCAUUAUUUUUAAAUUGUAGAAUUUAAGAUUUAGAAGUUGUUGUUUUGGGGAGACCCAGAUUUGGUUUGCCAUAUAGUUCCCAGGCUAAGGGGCCAACUGGAGCCGUAGCUGCCAGCCUAUGCCACAGCCACAGCAACACCAGAUCCGAGCUACCUUGACAACCUGUGCCACAGCUUGUGGCAGUGCCGGAUCCUUAACCCACUGAGCAAGGCCAGGGAUUGAACCCACAUCCUCAUAGACACUAUGCUGGAUUCUUAACCCAUUGAGCCACAAUAGGAACUCCAGGAAUNUUUUUUUUUUUUUUUUUAGUUUUUUUAGGGCUGCACCUGAGGCAUAUGGAAUUUACUAGGCUAGGGUUGAAUCCGAGCUGCAGACCUGCCAGAUCCAAGCUGUGUCUGCGAUCUACACUACAGCUCACAGCAACACCAGAUCCUUAACCCACUGAGCGAGGCCAGGGAUUGAACCUGCCUCCUCAUGGAUACCAGUUGGAUUCUUAACCCUCUGAGCCAUGACAGGAACACCCCACCCCCACCCAGAUUUUUUUAAUUAAAGAAAAUCUCUCAGGGAGACGGAGGGAAUGGAAUGGACUGGGAGUUUGGGGUUCAUAGACACAAACUAUGGCAUUUGGAGUAAGCAAUGAGAUCCUGCUGUAUAUAUAGUACAGGGAACUAUAUCUAGUCUCUUGUGAUAGAACAUGAUAGAGGAUAAUGUGAGAAAAAGAAUAUAUGCAUAUGUAUGACUUCUUCACUUUGCUGUACAGUAGAAAUUGACAGAACACUGUAAAUCAAUAUAAUGCAAAAAAUAAAAAUCGUUUUAAAAAAAGAGAGAAAAAAAUAGAAACAACAAAAAAAUACAGAAAAUUUCUCUAUGUUAUAAAUGCCCAUACUGGGAAGGCCACUCUAGCAUAUAAUUUCCUGAAUGUACAUUUAGGAGAUAAUGAUAUGGACUUCACAUGAGAUUAUGAGAAUUAAAAUUUUUGUUUUAUUUUGUUUUGUUUGUUUUUUUGCUUUUUAGGGCUGUGCCUGUGGCAUAUGGAGGUUCCCAGGCCAGGGGUUGAAUCAGAGCUGUAGCUGCUGUCUUACACCACAGCCACAGCAACUCAGGAUCCGAGCCGCGUCUGUGACCUACACCACAGCUCAUGGCAACACAGGAUACUUAACCCACUGAGCAAGGCCA